UGGGGAAUUUUGGACAAUGGGGGAAACCCUGAUCCAGCCAUCCCGCGUGUGCGAUGAAGGCCUUCGGGUUGUAAAGCACUUUUGGCAGGAAAGAAACGUCAUGGGUUAAUACCCCGUGAAACUGACGGUACCUGCAGAAUAAGCACCGGCUAACUACGUGCCAGCAGCCGCGGUAAUACGUAGGGUGCAAGCGUUAAUCGGAAUUACUGGGCGUAAAGCGUGCGCAGGCGGUUCGGAAAGAAAGAUGUGAAAUCCCAGAGCUCAACUUUGGAACUGCAUUUUUAACUACCGGGCUAGGGUGUGUCAGAGGGAGGUGGAAGUCCGCGUGUAGCAGUGAAAUGCGUAGAUAUGCGGAGGAACACCGAUGGCGAAGGCAGCCUCCUGGGAUAACACUGACGCUCAUGCACGAAAGCGUGGGGAGCAAACAGGA
Molecule: ribosomal RNA, 430 nt
Filed under: Acidobacteriota bacterium
Lineage: Bacteria; Pseudomonadati; Acidobacteriota
Description: Acidobacteria bacterium partial 16S ribosomal RNA
Rfam family: Bacterial small subunit ribosomal RNA
Source: RNAcentral